This 80-nucleotide microRNA precursor is filed under the name Heliconius melpomene (postman butterfly). RNAcentral's name for it is "mir-981 microRNA precursor family". It matches the Rfam family "mir-981 microRNA precursor family". Lineage: Eukaryota; Metazoa; Arthropoda; Insecta; Lepidoptera; Nymphalidae. The record is from Rfam by way of RNAcentral.
CCGCACAUAAUUCGGGUUUCGAGACGAUGAAACCGUAUGUACAAUUGGUUCGUUGUCGACGAAACCUGCAAAAUGUGCGG